Molecule: ribosomal RNA, 200 nt
Filed under: Listeria monocytogenes
Lineage: Bacteria; Bacillati; Bacillota; Bacilli; Caryophanales; Listeriaceae
Description: partial 23S ribosomal RNA
Rfam family: Bacterial large subunit ribosomal RNA
Source: RNAcentral
CCGCUUGUACAGGAUAGGUAGGAGCCGAAGAGACGUGUGCGCUAGCAUACGAGGAGGCAAUGGUGGGAUACUCCCCUGGCUGUAUGACCAUUCUAACCCGCCACGCUUAGCGCGUGGGGAGACAGUGUCAGGUGGGCAGUUUGACUGGGGCGGUCGCCUCCUAAAGAGUAACGGAGGCGCCCAAAGGUUCCCUCAGAAUG